This 468-nucleotide ribosomal RNA is filed under the name uncultured Sinobacteraceae bacterium. RNAcentral describes it as "bacterial SSU rRNA". It matches the Rfam family "Bacterial small subunit ribosomal RNA", at positions 337 to 797 of the family's 1533-position model. Lineage: Bacteria; Pseudomonadati; Pseudomonadota; Gammaproteobacteria; Nevskiales; Nevskiaceae. The record is from RNAcentral.
UCCUACGGGUGGCUGCAGUGGGGAAUAUUGGACAAUGGGGGAAACCCUGAUCCAGCGACGCCGCGUGGGUGAAGAAGGCCUGCGGGUUGUAAAGCCCUUUCGGUGGGGAAGAAAAGCCUCGACCUAACACGUCGGGGUAUUGACGUAACCCACAAAAGAAGCACCGGCUAACUCUGUGCCAGCAGCCGCGGUAAUACAGAGGGUGCGAGCGUUAAUCGGAAUUACUGGGCGUAAAGCGCGCGUAGGCGGCUAUACAAGUCGAGUGUGAAAUCCCCGGGCUCAACCUGGGAACUGCAUUCGAGACUGUAUUGCUUGAGUAUGGGAGAGGGAGGCGGAAUUUCAGGUGUAGCGGUGAAAUGCGUAGAUAUCUGAAGGAACAUCAGUGGCGAAAGCGGCCUCCUGGACCAAUACUGACGCUCAUGUGCGAAAGCGUGGGGAGCAAACAGGAUUAGAUACCCUAGUAGUCAG